RNAcentral lists this ribosomal RNA (23 nucleotides) under Kuckuckia sp. RNAcentral's name for it is "partial 25S rRNA". The record is from RNAcentral. Lineage: Eukaryota; Phaeophyceae; Ectocarpales; Ectocarpaceae.
AGGACCUCCGAUCAAGCAAGAGG